This is a non-coding RNA of Physcomitrium patens, 1422 nucleotides long. The record is from RefSeq and is a predicted model, not a curated record. Lineage: Eukaryota; Viridiplantae; Streptophyta; Bryopsida; Funariales; Funariaceae.
UUCAAUGACAUUGUCCUCGAAUUCCGUUCCAGCCCCAUCGUAGAAUUCUCAGAAGUGAGAGGGUGAAUUGCUGCAGAGUUGGGUUGAAUCCAGUUUGGCAGACAAAGACACAAACUGUAGCAGCUCUGGGGACUCCAGCAGACCAGAAGCUGCUGACCCUCCAAGUCCAACUUCGUCGCUGUAAUCUCCGCUGUCACUGCAAGUCUUGAUGGUCAGCCAGAAUUGUACCGAACAGUUGUACCCGUUUGCGAGAACCAAUUUUGUGGGCAGGUUUAGAUGGGUUUCGGUGUAUCUGGUGCUAGAUUGAACCAGAACGUAGAAGUAUAUGUCUCGAUGGCACGAAGGCAAUUCGAAAGUUUUUGCAGACGUGAUUGUGAAUGAGUAUUUCUCGGGAGAUACUAAAGUUCAUUUUGUUCGUCGGCAGCGCUCUGAGAAUGAAUGCGCUUCAAUGUUGGACAACGAGUUAUCAAUGACACAGUUAAUAUGCUGAGAACAGGAGGUGGACGUCAAUGCGGAGUCAUAGUCAUGGAGGAGCGAACUGUCCUUGACCCUGCAGGAGCACAAGCGCUCACGAAACAGAAAUCACCAAGUUAAGUAUACCAUCACCGUGAUCCAGCUUCGUCAAUAUUGCUGAGAAUUGUGGCUCUGUGGUAUCUAAUCGGAUGGCAAAUUGCAGUGACGGCUGUAGUUUUUCAUGGACUUGUGACUUUUUUAGUGAUCAGUUCUUCCAGCAUUCCAGUCUAUGAAAUACGCGAAGCAAGUUCUAACUUCUUAACUGUGUUACUGAAUUGUAUACAAUUCAGAAUCAUUUGUCGUCAAGUCCAAGGAGUUUUAGGUUGAGAUUUUCUACUCAGCAGGAUCUUGUUAGGCAUCUUCGCCCUUACAGUUAUAACUUGUGUGUGCGUGCAGAUCAAAAAUUGAAAAUGGAGGUUAUUGGCAGGUUCGUGUCUGUGCAGUUAUGCACAGCGGCUUGUUUUGAUAUUUUCGUGACCACAGAUUAAGCAUCUCCUUAAGUGGCUGAUUAAUCAUCACAUGAGAAAAAAAUGGCCUUAUUCAUGAGCAGGGCACAACUAGGAAGCCAGAUAGUGAAGCUGGUAUUGGGAGGCUUUAGCCAAGGUGUUUGCAACCGCUCAGUCCAUGUGUCUGUUCAGUCAGCUAUACACACAAGCUCCUCGCUCCAUUUCUGGGAAAUAUUUCAACGGCGACUCGUUCCACCUGAAGUCUCAAGCGGUCACUGCGCCUAGAGCCUGAUGCCAACCAACAAAUAAGUGACCUCAAUUUCUGUAAGUAGCCGCAUUCUCUGAAUCACAUCUCUUAGUGCUGUUUCGAAAUUCGUGUUCACUCAAGGCAUAGAGCUCUGAAGAUUCCCAUCAUAUUUUUGGUUAUUGCGAAGAAAUGCAGUAAAAUUGAGAGCUUCCUAUA